UAUGGGCUGGUCCAUGGGGGCUAACGACGCUGCAAACUGCGUCGGAGCUGACAUUGGUUCGGGAGCAAUGUCCAUGA
RNAcentral lists this transfer RNA (77 nucleotides) under Firmicutes bacterium ADurb.Bin300. RNAcentral's name for it is "tRNA-Cys". Lineage: Bacteria; Bacillati; Bacillota. The record is from RNAcentral.